UCUAAUUUCUUAUAUAUUUUUGUCUAUCUGAAUAUAUAUUGAUGAUUUCAUUUCAUUUAAAUAAGCAGGACAUUCUUAUAUUUUGCAAUUGUUUUGUUGAAUCCACGAUGGAAUGAAAAGGUGAUUACAUCUGUGGCCGAAGGAUUUUGUUGCAUUCGUUCUUAGCGUAGAAUCGCUUGGACUUUGCCUGUCGAAGCCCUAGGUUCAGGCUAUAUUUGAUGAUCAUGGAAGUCGUGUUGAUGAAGCUGGACCAUCUAUACCUGUACAAAUUGGAUUGGGGUGGCAUUUUUUAUGUGCAACAAUGAUGUAAUUUGCUUGAAUGUUCAUUUUGUUUGAUAAGGAUGCACAUACUUUGUGGAGUUGCACUAGUUAUUGUUGGAUGUUUUGUGGAAUUGUACAAGUUUUAAUUUUUGGAUAUUUUGUGGAUAUUGCACUAUUUUAUUGUAUUAGGAUGAAAUUAUUUGUAAUGAUAAAUGGAUAUUUUCAUUUUGUUAA
This is a non-coding RNA of Camellia sinensis, 495 nucleotides long. The record is from RefSeq and is a predicted model, not a curated record. NCBI's taxonomy places the organism in Eukaryota, Viridiplantae, Streptophyta, Magnoliopsida, Ericales, Theaceae.